RNAcentral lists this ribosomal RNA (664 nucleotides) under uncultured bacterium. RNAcentral describes it as "bacterial SSU rRNA". It matches the Rfam family "Bacterial small subunit ribosomal RNA", at positions 66 to 721 of the family's 1533-position model. The record is from RNAcentral.
GCAGCACAGUGGAGCUUGCUCCAUGGGUGGCGAGUGGCGGACGGGUGAGUAAUGCAUCGGGACCUACCUAGACGUGGGGGAUAACGUAGGGAAACUUACGCUAAUACCGCAUACGUCCUACAGGAGAAAGCAGGGGACCUUCGGGCCUUGCGCGGUUAGACGGACCGAUGUUCGAUUAGCUUGUUGGUGAGGUAACGGCUCACCAAGGCGACGAUCGAUAGCUGGUCUGAGAGGAUGAUCAGCCACACUGGAACUGAGACACGGUCCAGACUCCUACGGGAGGCAGCAGUGGGGAAUAUUGGACAAUGGGCGCAAGCCUGAUCCAGCAAUGCCGCGUGUGUGAAGAAGGCCUUCGGGUUGUAAAGCACUUUUAUCAGGAGCGAAAUACCACCGGCCAAUACCCGGUGGGGCUGACAGUACCGGGAGAAUAAGCUCCGGCUAACUCCGUGCCAGCAGCCGCGGUAAUACGGAGGGAGCUAGCGUUGUUCGGAAUUACUGGGCGUAAAGCGCACGUAGGCGGCUUUUCAAGUCAGAGGUGAAAGCCCGGGGCUCAACCCCGGAACUGCCUUUGAAACUAGGUAGCUAGAAUCUUGGAGAGGUCAGUGGAAUUCCGAGUGUAGAGGUGAAAUUCGUAGAUAUUCGGAAGAACACCAGUGGCGAAAGG